This 424-nucleotide ribosomal RNA is filed under the name Verrucomicrobiota bacterium. RNAcentral describes it as "Verrucomicrobia bacterium partial 16S ribosomal RNA". It matches the Rfam family "Bacterial small subunit ribosomal RNA", at positions 355 to 776 of the family's 1533-position model. The record is from RNAcentral. Lineage: Bacteria; Pseudomonadati; Verrucomicrobiota.
UGAGGAAUAUUGGUCAAUGGACGCAAGUCUGAACCAGCCAAGUAGCGUGCAGGAUGACGGCCCUAUGGGUUGUAAACUGCUUUUAUAUGGGGAUAAAGUGGGGAACGUGUUCCCUUUUGCAGGUACCAUAUGAAUAAGGACCGGCUAAUUCCGUGCCAGCAGCCGCGGUAAUACGGAAGGUUCGGGCGUUAUCCGGAUUUAUUGGGUUUAAAGGGAGCGUAGGCCGUUUGGUAAGCGUGUUGUGAAAUGUAGGAGCUCAACUUCUAGAUUGCAGCGCGAACUGUCAGACGUGAGUGCGCACAACGUAGGCGGAAUUCAUGGUGUAGCGGUGAAAUGCUUAGAUAUCAUGAAGAACUCCGAUUGCGAAGGCAGCUUACGGGAGCGCAACAGACGCUGAAGCUCGAAGGUGCGGGUAUCGAACAGG